UUUAAACUGAAGAGUUUGAUCAUGGCUCAGAUUGAACGCUGGCGGUAUGCUUAACACAUGCAAGUCGAACGGUAACAGGCAAAGCUUGCUUUGCGCUGACGAGUGGCGGACGGGUGAGUAACGCGUGAGAAUCUGCCUACUAGCGGGGGAUAGCCCGGUGAAAACCGGAUUAAUACCGCAUACGCCCUACGGGGGAAAGCUUGGGAUCUUCGGACCUGGCACUAGUAGAUGAGCUCGCGUGAGAUUAGCUUGUUGGUGGGGUAAUGGCCUACCAAGGCAACGAUCUCUAGCUGGUCUGAGAGGACGAUCAGCCACACUGGGACUGAGACACGGCCCAGACUCCUACGGGAGGCAGCAGUGGGG
This 363-nucleotide ribosomal RNA is filed under the name hydrothermal vent metagenome. Its description in RNAcentral is "bacterial SSU rRNA". It matches the Rfam family "Bacterial small subunit ribosomal RNA", at positions 1 to 359 of the family's 1533-position model. The record is from RNAcentral.